This 587-nucleotide ribosomal RNA is filed under the name Colletotrichum gloeosporioides. Its description in RNAcentral is "eukaryotic LSU rRNA". The stretch from base 229 to 382 matches the Rfam family "5.8S ribosomal RNA". Lineage: Eukaryota; Fungi; Ascomycota; Sordariomycetes; Glomerellales; Glomerellaceae. The record is from RNAcentral.
GAGGAAGUAAAAGUCGUAACAAGGUCUCCGUUGGUGAACCAGCGGAGGGAUCAUUACUGAGUUUACGCUCUACAACCCUUUGUGAACAUACCUACAACUGUUGCUUCGGCGGGUAGGGUCUCCGCGACCCUCCCGGCCUCCCGCCUCCGGGCGGGUCGGCGCCCGCCGGAGGAUAACCAAACUCUGAUUUAACGACGUUUCUUCUGAGUGGUACAAGCAAAUAAUCAAAACUUUUAACAACGGAUCUCUUGGUUCUGGCAUCGAUGAAGAACGCAGCGAAAUGCGAUAAGUAAUGUGAAUUGCAGAAUUCAGUGAAUCAUCGAAUCUUUGAACGCACAUUGCGCCCGCCAGCAUUCUGGCGGGCAUGCCUGUUCGAGCGUCAUUUCAACCCUCAAGCUCUGCUUGGUGUUGGGGCCCUACAGCCGAUGUAGGCCCUCAAAGGUAGUGGCGGACCCUCCCGGAGCCUCCUUUGCGUAGUAACUUUACGUCUCGCACUGGGAUCCGGAGGGACUCUUGCCGUAAAACCCCCCAAUUUUCCAAAGGUUGACCUCGGAUCAGGUAGGAAUACCCGCUGAACUUAAGCAUAU